This 253-nucleotide ribosomal RNA is filed under the name uncultured bacterium. RNAcentral describes it as "partial 16S ribosomal RNA". It matches the Rfam family "Bacterial small subunit ribosomal RNA", at positions 524 to 776 of the family's 1533-position model. The record is from RNAcentral.
UACGGGGGGGGUAAGCGUUGUUCGGAAUUACUGGGCGUAAAGGGCUCGUAGGCGGCCAACUAAGUCAGACGUGAAAUCCCUCAGCUUAACUGGGGAACUGCGUCUGAUACUGGAUGGCUUAGAUUCGGGAGAGGAAUGCGGAAUUCCAGGUGUAGCGGUGAAAUGCGUAGAUAUCUGGAGGAACACCGGUGGCGAAGGCGGCAUUCUGGACCGAUAUUGACGCUGAGGAGCAAAAGCCAGGGGAGCAAACGGG